Molecule: long non-coding RNA, 315 nt
Organism: Polypterus senegalus (gray bichir)
Lineage: Eukaryota; Metazoa; Chordata; Cladistia; Polypteriformes; Polypteridae
Exons: 3
Source: RefSeq, a predicted model, not a curated record
UCUCAUCUGAGGACCUGAGAAAGGAGCUGUCAGGUCUGAAAAAGAGUCUGGAGAAGAUCAGCCAGGCGAUCAUCUUGACAAGGACUCUAUUAGGACCUCCGCACCUUAAACCACCUGCACUGGGCAGGAUGCAAGGACACAAGCGUGUAAAACUGAACUCGAGCAGAGGAGCCUGUACUGGCCAUUAUACAGCUCCACGUGUGCCCAGACUCACUGCGCCUCACAGUGCUCACCCGCUAGGUGGCCCUGAGUUACCGCAACAGCGUCUUCAACACACAAACGCUCAUGAAGCUCCAGUUUUCGCCCUCCAGCCUC